Molecule: long non-coding RNA, 472 nt
Filed under: Homo sapiens (human)
Lineage: Eukaryota; Metazoa; Chordata; Mammalia; Primates; Hominidae
Description: HSALNT0263863
Source: RNAcentral
UGGGAUUACAGGUGUGAGCCACUGCACCUGGCCCUAUUCCUUUUCUUAGGGAGCUCACAGUUCACUGGAUGAGACAGAAGGAAGCUGAUUCUGAAAGGAAACAGGGUGUGGUAAAGAUAGGUCAGAGGGGUGAGCACAGAGGGGAUCAAGAGAAGGGGGUGAAAGACCAUUGUCAUCAGUGCAGCCUUUUUGGGGAGCAAUGUGUGAGCUGAGCUUUGGGAAGAAAUGAGGUUUUAAUGAGUGUGGGAGGAGAGCCCUCCUGAGAUAUGUGGAGAGACCAAUGCCCCUCUUCCCUGCUGCUCCCCCUCUUGAAGCAGUUCCCUUCUUCCCUCUGUCCCAGCUCGGCACAGUCACAGCAACUCUCCAAAUCAUGACGCUCAAAAUGCCACAUCUAAAAAGAACAUCCGGGCUCUGCCCCUAAGAAAGAAUUCAUGCACCUACAAAGAGGAAGGAACGGCACAGCCAUCCACCU